This 460-nucleotide ribosomal RNA is filed under the name uncultured bacterium. RNAcentral describes it as "partial 16S ribosomal RNA". It matches the Rfam family "Bacterial small subunit ribosomal RNA", at positions 338 to 795 of the family's 1533-position model. The record is from RNAcentral.
CCUACGGGGGACAGCAGUGAGGAAUAUUGGUCAAUGGACGAGAGUCUGAACCAGCCAAGUAGCGUGAAGGAUUACUGCCCUAUGGGUUGUAAACUUCUUUUAUAUGGGAAUAAAAUGUUCCACGUGUGGGAUUUUGUAUGUACCAUAUGAAUAAGGAUCGACUAACUCCGGGCCAGCAGCCGCGGUAAUACGGAGGAUCCGAGCGUUAUCCGGAUUUAUUGGGUUUAAAGGGAGCGUAGGUGGAUUGGUAAGUCAGUUGUGAAAGUUUGCGGCUCAACCGUAAAAUUGCAGUUGAAACUGGCAGUCUUGAGUACAGUAGAGGUGGGCGGAAUUCGUGGUGUAGCGGUGAAAUGCUUAGAUAUCACGAAGAACACCGAUUGCGAAGGCAGCUCACUGGACUGCAACUGACACUGAGGCUCGAAAGUGUGGGUAGCAAACAGGAUUAGAUACCCUGGUAGUC